RNAcentral lists this long non-coding RNA (309 nucleotides) under Cyanistes caeruleus (blue tit). RNAcentral's name for it is "lncRNA (ENSCCEG00000010712.1)". Lineage: Eukaryota; Metazoa; Chordata; Aves; Passeriformes; Paridae. The record is from RNAcentral.
GUCUGAAGUGCCCUUUUUCCUCUACUGGGAUGAUCCCAGCUGUCCCUGGGUGUGGGACACUGGCACAACAGUGUCACUGAUAGUGCCUGGCAGGGAUCUCUCACCAGGAGCUGCGAGGUUUCUGCAAAGGGAGGAAAAGCAGAGCAGGGCAGCCAAGCUGGGGCUGGUGCCUGGGCUUUGACUUACAGAAUUAUUGCUAACUGUACACUCUCUGAUGGUAGGAAACAGCAUUUUGCCCCCAGCCAUUUUUCCCAAGAUCAGAGCCAAAGUAACUCUGUCUCCUGCUGUUUUGUAGCUGUAGAUUCUUAA